GUUUUCUCCUCCUGGCAAAUGUGAUUGAAUGAAUGACAUGCAAAAGACUUCGAAUUGUUUACUUCUGAAAAGCAACUCUAUACUUUUGUGCGCGAGUUCACUCAUUUGCAUCCGUCAGAAACACAAAAUCACCGACAAAAUUGAUAGUGUGAACCAGGCUCUAAUUAAUAUAUACAUGCUUUACACCCCUGCCUGAGAUUACGGUUCAAUAGACCUUACCGAUUAUUUUCUUUUGCCCAAUGGCCUCGUUUCCAUGUUAACUUAUUUUAGCAUGUCAGGGGCAGAUAAAGAUUAUAUUCCCAUGUUUUCCUGAAC
Non-coding RNA from Paramuricea clavata, 315 nucleotides. The record is from the annotation of a GenBank genome assembly. NCBI's taxonomy places the organism in Eukaryota, Metazoa, Cnidaria, Anthozoa, Malacalcyonacea, Plexauridae.